Molecule: ribosomal RNA, 445 nt
Filed under: uncultured bacterium
Lineage: Bacteria
Description: bacterial SSU rRNA
Rfam family: Bacterial small subunit ribosomal RNA
Source: RNAcentral
CCUACGGGUGGCUGCAGUGGGGAAUAUUGCACAAUGGGCGCAAGCCUGAUGCAGCGACGCCGCGUGAGGGAUGACGGCCUUCGGGUUGUAAACCUCUGUUAGCAUCGAAGAAGCGAAAGUGACGGUAGGUGCAGAGAAAGCGCCGGCUAACUACGUGCCAGCAGCCGCGGUAAUACGUAGGGCGCGAGCGUUGUCCGGAAUUAUUGGGCGUAAAGAGCUUGUAGGCGGUUGGUCGCGUCUGCUGUGAAAGGCCGGGGCUUAACUCCGGUUUUGCAGUGGGUACGGGCUAACUAGAGUGCAGUAGGGGAGACUGGAAUUCCUGGUGUAGCGGUGGAAUGCACAGAUAUCAGGAGGAACACCGAUGGUGAAGGCAGGUCUCUGGGCUGUAACUGACGCUGAGAAGCGAAAGCAUGGGGAGCGAACAGGAUUAGAUACCCUGGUAGUC